UUUGGGGUUUUUGUUUCAUUUUCUUUUAUUUUUCUUUUUAAGUUGUUUUGUUUUUUUCUUCCUCAAAGACCAAAUUUAAUAUCAAGCUCCCAGGGUUUGGUAGAGCAUGGCCACAGUCCUGUUCUCAUUAGGGAACUGGAUUGCUGGCUGGCAGUGUUCUGCAGAGACCAAUCCAUACCCGCCUUUAUUUGUAAUCAGCCAUUUCGAUUCAGCCACCAGAGCCGGGAUUGGCUCCUGCCUGCUGAGGUCAAUUGCCCAAGGGCAAGCACAUGGUGACAGCUAGCACAUUCCUGUGCCCAACAGAGGAGGCACCAGAGCCAGAGGUAAUCUGAGGCUGGGGCUGUUUCCAAAGAGCAGGGACCUUGUGAAAGGGAAAAGCCAGAUUAAAGGGGAAUCAUAAUCCUUGACUAUGCAGUGACAGCCUGGGAAGAGAGGUUGGCUCAAAAAGGCCAAGGGUCUUCCCUCAAGAAUGAUAGUGCCUCACUGUUGGCAAGAUGGAUAUAGGCUUGUGUCUCCAUCUUCUCCUUCUCUUGCAGGGGUAAGAAACAGAAUUACAGCAAAAAGCAGGGGACAGAAGUCUGGCUGUGGGGAUGAAACCUCCUAGCUUCUGCAGGUGAGAAGAUGAAGGACUGUGACUGUUUCACUGAAACAAGAACAAGACAGAAAGGGGCCCAAGACCAUCACAGAAGUUUAGCUUUCAACAUAUAUAAAGAAAGGGGCAACAAGUACACAGGCUCAGUGCCUGCUCUCUGGGAAAGGAAGCUCCAAGUAGCACCAUGGCUCCAUUCUGCUGCUAAGGAACAUGGAAUAGAAACAACAUUUGCAAACUUUACUGCUCUGCCAGCCCCCUGGGCACAUAUCUGCUCCUGCAGGAGAUGAAGAAGAAGGCUG
Zonotrichia albicollis (white-throated sparrow) is the source of this 891-nucleotide non-coding RNA. The record is from RefSeq and is a predicted model, not a curated record. NCBI's taxonomy places the organism in Eukaryota, Metazoa, Chordata, Aves, Passeriformes, Passerellidae.